GAAAGAAAGGAAAAACUAGAACAAACGCUGGAUAAGAGAAUUUCAAGAAAAAUUGUGGAAAUUUCAAGGAAUCAAGCAAGAUAAGGUGGUGAGCUAUUUGAUAAGGAUAAAAAGAUUACACCAAAGACCGGGACUAGGAGUAUUUCUACUCCUGAUACUGCUGGAUAGUAUUAUAUUAGUCAUGUCAUGCUAUCAAAAUUUUGUUGUAUGGUGGAUUUAACCUGCUGCAGGGGGCGGGUUUUCUGUGGACCAGCCUAUUAGAGGGGCACGAAAUCCCGAUAUAUUUUACCUUGGUUGGAGAGGCGAG
Non-coding RNA from Theobroma cacao (cacao), 307 nucleotides. NCBI's taxonomy places the organism in Eukaryota, Viridiplantae, Streptophyta, Magnoliopsida, Malvales, Malvaceae. The record is from RefSeq and is a predicted model, not a curated record.